UGUAGCAAUCUGCCCUUCUCUUUGGAAUAAGCGUUGGAAACGACGUCUAAUGCCGAAUACGACCUCCUUUCGCAUGAUCGGAGGUGGAAAGCUCCGGCGGAGAAGGAUGAGCUCGCGGCCUAUCAGCUAGUUGGUGGGGUAACGGCCCACCAAGGCGACGAUCCGUAGCUGGUCUGAGAGGACGAACAGCCACACUGGGACUGAGACACGGCCCAGACUCCUACGGGAGGCAG
RNAcentral lists this ribosomal RNA (233 nucleotides) under uncultured bacterium. Its description in RNAcentral is "partial 16S ribosomal RNA". It matches the Rfam family "Bacterial small subunit ribosomal RNA", at positions 118 to 351 of the family's 1533-position model. The record is from RNAcentral.